This 204-nucleotide small nucleolar RNA is filed under the name Chinchilla lanigera (long-tailed chinchilla). RNAcentral's name for it is "Small nucleolar RNA SNORA74 (ENSCLAG00000020067.1)". It matches the Rfam family "Small nucleolar RNA SNORA74". Rfam says of the family: U19 belongs to the H/ACA class of snoRNAs. snoRNAs bind a number of proteins (including dyskerin, Gar1p and Nop10p in the case of the H/ACA class) to form snoRNP complexes. Lineage: Eukaryota; Metazoa; Chordata; Mammalia; Rodentia; Chinchillidae. The record is from Rfam by way of RNAcentral.
UCCAGCGAUAGUCAGCCGUCCGGACAGACCCGCUGCCGUGAUGGUGUUACACUGCUGGGAGAGCACUGUCUUGUCUUCUUCCUCCGGGGGCCUGCGGGGCUGUUCUGGUGGCCUGGGGCACUGGGGCAAGGCGUGACUGCGCUGCCUGGAGAGUGUGCUAAGCCUCCUCCUGGGCUGCUUGGUGCUAGUCUGGGAGCAAACAGU